This 253-nucleotide ribosomal RNA is filed under the name uncultured bacterium. RNAcentral describes it as "partial 16S ribosomal RNA". It matches the Rfam family "Bacterial small subunit ribosomal RNA", at positions 524 to 776 of the family's 1533-position model. The record is from RNAcentral.
UACGUAGGGUGCAGGCGUUGUCCGGAAUUAUUGGGCGUAAAGAGCUUGUAGGCGGUUUGUCGCGUCUGCUGUGAAAUUUCGGGGCUCAACCCCGAACUUGCAGUGGGUACGGGCAGACUAGAGUGUGGUAGGGGAGACUGGAAUUCCUGGUGUAGCGGUGAAAUGCGCAGAUAUCAGGAGGAACACCGAUGGCGAAGGCAGGUCUCUGGGCCACUACUGACGCUGAGAAGCGAAAGCAUGGGGAGCGAACAGG